This 404-nucleotide ribosomal RNA is filed under the name Fusobacteriota bacterium. RNAcentral's name for it is "Fusobacteria bacterium partial 16S ribosomal RNA". It matches the Rfam family "Bacterial small subunit ribosomal RNA", at positions 355 to 776 of the family's 1533-position model. Lineage: Bacteria; Fusobacteriati; Fusobacteriota. The record is from RNAcentral.
UGGGGAAUAUUGCACAAUGGAGGGAACUCUGAUGCAGCGACGCCGCGUGAGUGAUGAAGGACUUCGUUUCGUAAAACUCUGUUCUAUGGGAAGAAAAGGACUGUACCAUAGGAGAAAGCUCCGGCUAACUCCGUGCCAGCAGCCGCGGUAAUACGGAGGAUGCGAGCGUUAUCCGGAAUUAUUGGGUUUAAAGGGUGCGUAGGUUGCAAGGGAAGUCAGGGGUGAAAAGCUAUAGCUCAACUAUGGUCUUGCCUUUGAAACUCUCUAGCUAGAGUGUACUGGAGGUACGUGGAACGUGUGGUGUAGCGGUGAAAUGCAUAGAUAUCACACAGAACUCCGAUUGCGCAGGCAGCGUACUACAUUACAACUGACACUGAAGCACGAAAGCGUGGGUAUCAAACAGG